RNAcentral lists this small RNA (974 nucleotides) under Pan troglodytes (chimpanzee). RNAcentral describes it as "processed transcript". The record is from RNAcentral. Lineage: Eukaryota; Metazoa; Chordata; Mammalia; Primates; Hominidae.
CAAUCCAUUGUACUUGUAAAUGAUUCAGCAAUCAUAGAAGUACGCAGGGAAAGUCACCCCUUGGCUUUCGAGUGUGACACACUGGAUAAUAACGAAAUAGUAGCAACUAUUAAAUUCACAGUCUAUACGAGCAGUGUGAAUUGCAAAGCCCUGUCCGUGAUGUCUCCUACAUGUUGCCUUGAAACUGUCCAUCUCCUUUCAUUACUCCUGUGACUGCCCUAGUUCAGGCUACCCCGUCUCUUUAUGUAGAUGCUUUUUAAAACAAUCUCAUGACUUGCUUCUCCAACUAUGAGAGAGCUUUUAAAUGCAAUUUUUACAAUUUUACACGGGCAGCAGUCAAGGCUUUCUGGGGGGCAAAAUCCUCUACACCUGAGGUACAAUCUGAGCAGAGUUCUGUGAGAUACAAAGAUUCAACUUCUCUUGACCAAUUACCAACAGAAAUGCCUGGUGAAGAUGAUGCUUUAAGUGAAUGGAAUGAAUGAUGUUGGAAUGAUAUAUAACAAACCAAAGGAUAUUACAGAAUAUUAGAUUCAUUAUUACAAAAUAAAAUAUACAUUGAAAUACUUUAAUAAUGUUGCAAUGGAUUGCCACAGUGUGAAGGAAAUGCAGGGUGGGGAUAGGACUGUUUUAUCAGUGCAUUUUUUCAGUACAGUUAUCAAAUAUUACUUUUAAUUUGUUCUCAACACUUAUUUCAGGUAAUAGCUUGGGGAUAUUUAUCUAAAGGUACCCCCAACAAAUCUUCUAAGUGCAUUUUUGAUCACUUUGAUAACUUCUUAGGUGAUUUGCCUGUUUUGUCUUAAAUAAGAACAAUGUAAUAUAGAAAUGCUUUACAUAUUAGACUUUCUCUCCCCUGGAAGCACUGGGUUGAACUUGCUAAAGCAAAUCAUACUUUAGAAUCUCUGCAGGGAAUGUGACAUACAAAGUUUGUAAGACAUGAAGUAAUAACGAUAAUGAUAACAAUAAAUACGUAGUGA